Molecule: long non-coding RNA, 1170 nt
Organism: Quercus robur (English oak)
Lineage: Eukaryota; Viridiplantae; Streptophyta; Magnoliopsida; Fagales; Fagaceae
Exons: 2
Source: RefSeq, a predicted model, not a curated record
ACCCCGUAAAACCCUAGAAAUGACAAUCCCUAUAAAUUCACACCUUUGGUUUAACCCUAUCUCAGCAGCAAAAGGCUUUAAGGCUUUUUAAGUCUUAGUUUCUCUCUACCUCUCUCUGUUUCUUUUCUCUCUCAGAUGUUUUGAGUGUUUGGUUUAGAAUAAAAAUGGUGAUGAAGAAUAAGAUCGCGGUGAUGACUCGGUAAAAUUCAAGCUCAACAGACCGGAAUGCAGGGCUUUCUCUUGCGAGAAAGUUUUGCGUGUCGAAUACCCGCUGAACUGAGCGAUCUCACUCUUUACCUUUUCUUUUUCUGUUUUUCUUGUCGUGGUCGCGUGUCUUUUUAAUUUUAUGUUUUUAUCGUUACAAAUUAUUCUCUGUUUGGUUCAAAUCAAUAAGAAUUUGGGGGAAAUAGAUUUUGCAAUGAGGAUGAAAAAGCUCCCUCUUCUGAAAUGAAAAGUUGAGGAAAUUUGCUGGCGGAAUCGAACCUAAAACUCUAAACGCCACCACUGAAUCUUGUGUUUAAGCUUCAUCUUCUGGACUGCAAAUUGAUCCAAGAGUGGUGGGGACUGCAAUCUAUUAUUGAGUUUUCUUCUUCUGAUCUACAUAGCAGACUACAGAAAUCAUCAAUUUCUGAUUUUUGACAUAAGAGUUGUUUUAGUGGUUAUACCUGUCAUGCUAUCUUCCACAGAAGUGGUUUGAGUCUGUCAUGGUCAAAAAUAAAAGAAGUGGUUUAAUAAAGUGCUGUUAGCAUUAUUAUUAUUAUUAUUUUUUGAGAGAUUGCUGUUAGCAGUAUAUGGCAAAAGAACAAAGCUUCAAAGCCUUAAUUUGUGGUGGUGAUGCUUUUAAUAAUUUAAUGUUAUAUCUCCACGUAAAAGUCCCAUCGACACCAGUCUAUAGAAAUAAUCAUAGUUGAGGCAAUAGUAUUAGUGUCUUCUUUUGAGAAAUGGGAUGUUGCUCAUGUAUUAGGGGAAACCAAUUUUGUGGCCCAUAAUUUAGACUUUGCUGCGUAACUUUGUGGGAAAUAUCCCCAUCUGCUUUGUACUUCGUCAUGCUUUUGUUCACCGAUAGUAAAUGAAGCGAGUUCCUUCUGCUAUGUAUCUCUCUGUUAGAAAUACAAAUGUUUAAUCAGAAAAAAUAAAGAAAGAAAUUUGAAGCUUGUGUUGCACUAUCAA